CAGUCGCCGCGGUAAUACGUAGGGUGCGAGCGUUAAUCGGAAUUACUGGGCGUAAAGCGUGCGCAGGCGGUUCGUUAAGACAGAUGUGAAAUCCCCGGGCUUAACCUGGGAACUGCAUUUGUGACUGGCGAGCUAGAGUAUGGCAGAGGGGGGUAGAAUUCCACGUGUAGCAGUGAAAUGCGUAGAGAUGUGGAGGAAUACCGGUGGCGAAGGCAGCCCCCUGGGCCAAUACUGACGCUCAUGCACGAAAGCGUGGGGAGCAAACAGGAUUAGAUACCCCUGUAGUCCCUGUCUCUUAUAC
RNAcentral lists this ribosomal RNA (301 nucleotides) under uncultured bacterium. RNAcentral's name for it is "partial 16S ribosomal RNA". It matches the Rfam family "Bacterial small subunit ribosomal RNA", at positions 509 to 807 of the family's 1533-position model. The record is from RNAcentral.